Molecule: non-coding RNA, 271 nt
Organism: Paralichthys olivaceus (Japanese flounder)
Lineage: Eukaryota; Metazoa; Chordata; Actinopteri; Pleuronectiformes; Paralichthyidae
Source: RefSeq, a predicted model, not a curated record
UGGUGAUCGCGGUCACCUCCUUCUCUUUGGCGAGAGUCACAGUCAUCCUUCACGCUCCUGACGGCACACGCACCUGCAACUGGACAGAGCCUUGAUCCCCAGGACGACAGAGCUGAGGGCGACGCAGAGCUCCAGGGCCGACAGGACGAUCAACACGCCAUUGAUGCCUCUCAAGACCAUCUGGUGCUCGGACACACUGCAGCAAGCUGGGCUGUAACAGAGGGACUUCAGGAUUUGGCACAGUGGCGGACAGGGACUUUGGGGGUCAAAG